This 878-nucleotide ribosomal RNA is filed under the name Escherichia coli. Its description in RNAcentral is "partial 23S ribosomal RNA". It matches the Rfam family "Bacterial large subunit ribosomal RNA", at positions 2071 to 2925 of the family's 2925-position model. The record is from RNAcentral. Lineage: Bacteria; Pseudomonadati; Pseudomonadota; Gammaproteobacteria; Enterobacterales; Enterobacteriaceae.
CGCGGCAAGACGGAAAGACCCCGUGAACCUUUACUAUAGCUUGACACUGAACAUUGAGCCUUGAUGUGUAGGAUAGGUGGGAGGCUUUGAAGUGUGGACGCCAGUCUGCAUGGAGCCGACCUUGAAAUACCACCCUUUAAUGUUUGAUGUUCUAACGUGGACCCGUGAUCCGGGUUGCGGACAGUGUCUGGUGGGUAGUUUGACUGGGGCGGUCUCCUCCUAAAGAGUAACGGAGGAGCACGAAGGUUGGCUAAUCCUGGUCGGACAUCAGGAGGUUAGUGCAAUGGCAUAAGCCAGCUUGACUGCGAGCGUGACGGCGCGAGCAGGUGCGAAAGCAGGUCAUAGUGAUCCGGUGGUUCUGAAUGGAAGGGCCAUCGCUCAACGGAUAAAAGGUACUCCGGGGAUAACAGGCUGAUACCGCCCAAGAGUUCAUAUCGACGGCGGUGUUUGGCACCUCGAUGUCGGCUCAUCACAUCCUGGGGCUGAAGUAGGUCCCAAGGGUAUGGCUGUUCGCCAUUUAAAGUGGUACGCGAGCUGGGUUUAGAACGUCGUGAGACAGUUCGGUCCCUAUCUGCCGUGGGCGCUGGAGAACUGAGGGGGGCUGCUCCUAGUACGAGAGGACCGGAGUGGACGCAUCACUGGUGUUCGGGUUGUCAUGCCAAUGGCACUGCCCGGUAGCUAAAUGCGGAAGAGAUAAGUGCUGAAAGCAUCUAAGCACGAAACUUGCCCCGAGAUGAGUUCUCCCUGACCCUUUAAGGGUCCUGAAGGAACGUUGAAGACGACGACGUUGAUAGGCCGGGUGUGUAAGCGCAGCGAUGCGUUGAGCUAACCGGUACUAAUGAACCGUGAGGCUUAACCUUACAACGCCGAAGGUGUUU